UAUUACCGCAUGCUGUGGCUCCAGCAAUGGAGCGGAGCAGCACAGUCUGUGGAAAUAGAAGCUUCUACAUUUUUGGUUUUGGUCCAGGUGAAGCUUUCCUCAUCCAGACAGAGGACGAGACUGGAUUACAGUUGAAGCAGCAGCAGCUUCAACCUGGCGCUGCUCUGUAACCAACCGUAGAAGCACGAUCCCAUUGCUGUAUAAAGAGGCCUGCUGUGAGCCAAUGAACUGGGCAGGAGGUGUUUGGGGUGGGGGCCUGCACGGUGCGCUUGUGAAAGACCCUCGCAUGCUACAACUCCAAGAGGUCCUGGAAUAGCAUGCAGGCACGGUUACUGGGGCAACAUGAUGGUGCAACAUGGUGGAUCCAAGAAAAAGGACCUGCUCCUGAUGCAGAUUUGAAAAGCUCAUUCUCACUACUUCCUGUCCUGCACACUGGACCUUUAGAAAUGACCAAAACAGGAAGACAUGACCAACCUGAACUUAAAAGAAAGGUUUAAUGACAAAUUUUGAAACUAUUCUGUGAAGACCUACAAUGUUCAGGAUAUAUAUGUCCAACUAGUCUUACUGCCCCUAGACAGAGCUGUUGUCUCAGUGCCCAUAUAAUAAAACUGCAGCUCAUUGAAUUAAAACUACAUCCUGUUUUGUGAAGUGUAA
Molecule: long non-coding RNA, 654 nt
Organism: Pleuronectes platessa (European plaice)
Lineage: Eukaryota; Metazoa; Chordata; Actinopteri; Pleuronectiformes; Pleuronectidae
Exons: 3
Source: RefSeq, a predicted model, not a curated record